GCAUGUGGUUUAAUUCGACGCUACGCGAAGAACCUUACCUGGGUUUGACAUGUUAGUAGUAAAAACCUGAAAAGGGGCUGACCCUGAGGUAACUCAGGGAGCUAACACAGGUGCUGCAUGGCUGUCGUCAGCUCGUGCCGUGAGGUGUUGGGUUAAGUCCCGCAACGAGCGCAACCCUUAUCCUCUGUUGGUCGUAAACGAUCUCUCUGGGGAAACUGCCGGCGAUGAGCUGGAGGAAGGUGGGGAUGACGUCAAGUCAGCAUGGCCCUUAUGUCCAGGGCGACACACGUGCUACAAUGGCUGCUACAGAGAUGCAAUACCGUGAGGUGGAGCCAAUCCUUAAAAGCAGUCUCAGUGGGGAUCGGAGUCUGCAAUUCGACUCCGUGAACGCGGAAUCGCUAGUAAUCAUGGAUCAGCCAUGCCAUGGUGAAUACGUUCCCGGGCCUUGUACACACCGCCCGUCACACCACGAAAGCCUGUUGUACCCGAAGCUGGGGAGUUAA
This 503-nucleotide ribosomal RNA is filed under the name uncultured bacterium. RNAcentral describes it as "bacterial SSU rRNA". It matches the Rfam family "Bacterial small subunit ribosomal RNA", at positions 937 to 1438 of the family's 1533-position model. The record is from RNAcentral.